GUGGCUGUAGCUUAAUUGGUUAAAGCGCGGCUAUACCCCGAAUGUCGGUUCGACUCCGAUGAAAGAAAGGUGUCAAGGGUCACACGCGGGAAGAAGGUGCCGAAGGUUGCGGGUUCGACUCCCUCCAGCCACA
This 133-nucleotide transfer RNA is filed under the name Fibrobacter sp. UWCM. RNAcentral describes it as "tRNA_Ala_CGC". It matches the Rfam family "tRNA". From Rfam's summary of the family: Transfer RNA (tRNA) molecules are approximately 80 nucleotides in length. Their secondary structure includes four short double-helical elements and three loops (D, anti-codon, and T loops). Further hydrogen bonds mediate the characteristic L-shaped molecular structure. tRNAs have two regions of fundamental functional importance: the anti-codon, which is responsible for specific mRNA codon recognition, and the 3' end, to which the tRNAs corresponding amino acid is attached (by aminoacyl-tRNA synthetases). tRNAs cope with the degeneracy of the genetic code in two manners: having more than one tRNA (with a specific anti-codon) for a particular amino acid; and 'wobble' base-pairing, i.e. permitting non-standard base-pairing at the 3rd anti-codon position. Lineage: Bacteria; Pseudomonadati; Fibrobacterota; Fibrobacteria; Fibrobacterales; Fibrobacteraceae. The record is from RNAcentral.